RNAcentral lists this long non-coding RNA (446 nucleotides) under Chrysemys picta bellii (western painted turtle). Its description in RNAcentral is "lncRNA (ENSCPBG00000005169.1)". Lineage: Eukaryota; Metazoa; Chordata; Testudines; Emydidae. The record is from RNAcentral.
GACUUUAAAACAAAUCAGAGAUAUUUAGAAUUAUUUACUCUUUAAUUCUUUCCCAUAGGCCACUUGGUACAACCCCUUGUCAGUCAGAAUGCUUCAUUGAUCUCAGUCAGAAGUUCUGCUUGAAAACUGAUGGCACAACCUACCCCCAUACGUAGGAGCAGGAUGCUGAUUUAAGCAGUGGCAGGGGUCCCUCUGGAUCAAGCCUGUCAUCUCUUUUUUUUACUUCGUCGUGUGACAAAGAUUCAGUAUGAAAAGACAUCUGUUCUGGAACAAUUACCAGCUUCUCCACACUUCCUAUGCUCAAAGUUGCCAGCUGCAGGAUUUGAAUUGAAAAUACCAGGAAUGAUUUUGUGUCUAAGUGCAUGAACUGCAUCUGCAAAUUACAUCCUGUUUGAAAUAUUUUGUGGUUUAAUCUAGUUUCAUCUAAACAAGUCGCUGUCACUGGC